Heterocephalus glaber (naked mole-rat) is the source of this 529-nucleotide long non-coding RNA. NCBI's taxonomy places the organism in Eukaryota, Metazoa, Chordata, Mammalia, Rodentia, Bathyergidae. The record is from Ensembl.
CUUUUUUUCUUUUAAUCUUUGUUGACAAUAUUUCUAAAGAGAACAAAGUCAUAGGAAAAAGUAAAACAAUUUUAAUAGAUAGGGUAUAAGCUAAACUGCUGUAACAAAGGAAGAACCAAAUGUAGACUUGAACUAGUACUUGGAAGAGAUGAGAGAAGGUUGCAAGGAGGUGAGAAGUAUAUGAAUCAGUUCCUGGGGUGUCCUGAAGCUCUGAAGAAAAUGACUUGAAACAAUUCCAGCUCUCACUUUUUUCCUUCAAUCAAUUCCCAGCUGGGCUGUGACAGAAGGCAGAUGAUAAGAAAAGGAAGGAGAGCAAUAAAGCGCAGCCGCUUUACAAGAGAAGAAAAAGUUUCCCAGAGGGAAGUAAAGAAGGAAAGCCCCCCCAAAAAACCUAGGCACAGAGCUUGCUUGAAGGAGAAAGAUUACCAUGAAAUCUUUAAAUGUUCUAAACACCAUCAGUAACAGCUGUAAAGGAGUGGGAACAGGUAUAAUAGGGAUUAGUGGAAAGAGCUUCACUGUAGCCAUGUAC